UACGAAGGGGGCUAGCGUUGCUCGGAAUCACUGGGCGUAAAGGGUGCGUAGGCGGGUCUUUAAGUCAGGGGUGAAAUCCUGGAGCUCAACUCCAGAACUGCCUUUGAUACUGAGGAUCUUGAGUUCGGGAGAGGUGAGUGGAACUGCGAGUGUAGAGGUGAAAUUCGUAGAUAUUCGCAAGAACACCAGUGGCGAAGGCGGCUCACUGGUCCGAUACUGACGCUGAGGCACGAAAGCGUGGGUAGCAAACGGG
Molecule: ribosomal RNA, 253 nt
Filed under: uncultured bacterium
Lineage: Bacteria
Description: partial 16S ribosomal RNA
Rfam family: Bacterial small subunit ribosomal RNA
Source: RNAcentral